RNAcentral lists this ribosomal RNA (595 nucleotides) under Hepatozoon sp. RNAcentral describes it as "bacterial SSU rRNA". It matches the Rfam family "Eukaryotic small subunit ribosomal RNA", at positions 324 to 909 of the family's 1831-position model. Lineage: Eukaryota; Apicomplexa; Hepatozoidae. The record is from RNAcentral.
GACGGUAAGGUAUUGGCUUACCGUGGCAGUGACGGUUAACGGGGAAUUAGGGUUCAAUUCCGGAGAGGGAGCCUGAGAAACGGCUACCACAUCUAAGGAAGGCAGCAGGCGCGCAAAUUACCCAAUUCUAACAGCAUAAGAGAGGUAGUGACAAGAAAUAACAGUACAAGGCAGUUAAAAUGCUUUGUAAUUGGAAUGAUAGAAAUUUAAAUACUUUUUAAAGUAUCAAUUGGAGGGCAAGUCUGGUGCCAGCAGCCGCGGUAAUUCCAGCUCCAAUAGCGUAUAUUAAAAUUGUUGCAGUUAAAAAGCUCGUAGUUAAAUUUUUGCUAAAAAUAACCGGUCUGCUUUUAUUAAUAAAAGUGGUAUCUUGGUGUGUUUUUAGCAAUAAUGUCCUUUGAAAUGUUUUUUACUUUAUUGUAAAAAGCAAUUUUCAGGAUUUUUACUUUGAGAAAAUUAGAGUGUUUCAAGCAGGCUAACGUUUUGAAUACUGCAGCAUGGAAUAAUAAAAUAGGAUUUUAGUUCUACGUUAUUGGUUUUAAGAACUAAAUUAAUGAUUAAUAGGAGCAGUUGGGGGCAUUUGUAUUUAACUGUCAGA